Molecule: ribosomal RNA, 500 nt
Filed under: uncultured bacterium
Lineage: Bacteria
Description: partial 16S ribosomal RNA
Rfam family: Bacterial small subunit ribosomal RNA
Source: RNAcentral
AUUGAACGCUGGCGGAAUGCUUUACACAUGCAAGUCGAACGGCAGCACGGGGGCAACCCUGGUGGCGAGUGGCGAACGGGUGAGUAAUACAUCGGAACGUGCCCAGUCGUGGGGGAUAACGUAGCGAAAGUUACGCUAAUACCGCAUACGAUCUACGGAUGAAAGCGGGGGACCGUAAGGCCUCGCGCGAUUGGAGCGGCCGAUGUCAGAUUAGGUAGUUGGUGAGGUAAAGGCUCACCAAGCCGACGAUCUGUAGCUGGUCUGAGAGGACGACCAGCCACAAGGGGACUGAGACACGGCCCAGACUCCUACGGGAGGCAGCAGUGGGGAAUUUUGGACAAUGGGCGCAAGCCUGAUUCAGCCAUUCCGCGUGCAGGACGAAGGCCUUCGGGUUGUAAACUGCUUUUGUACGGAACGAAAAGGCUCUGGUUAAUACCUGGGGCUCAUGACGGUACCGUAAGAAUAAGCACCGGCUAACUACGUGCCAGCAGCCGCCGUAA